AGAUUUCCAUGGAUGAUGGUCCCAGCCUUUUCUUUCUUUGGCCUUCUAGUUGGAAGCGGCCAAUGGCAGGUAGAACUGGAGAUGAUGGUGUUGCAGGGUCUUUCAAAGGAAUGCCAAGGGGUGGAGCAAAAGACCUCCUUCCAGCACAGCCAAGCGCAGACCCUUCCAGACACCUGGUAACCAUGCACGUGGUCCAGCCAUCCCCUAAUGCAGCCCUGCUGGGUAAAACAAGCUCAGCGCUCACUAGGAAACCUCCGGGGGCCUCCACAAACAGGAUGACAGGUCCAAAUUCCUCUCUGAGUGGCCGCAAAAUUCCUGUCCACCCUUGGAUCUGUGGGUGCCACCUCUGUCCAAGAGAAAGAACCCUUGCCUGCUCAGAGUCUUCUCAAGCGCCUGUGAUCAUAUUUGAGCAAACCGCAGGCCUUCAAGGAGGCA
Peromyscus maniculatus bairdii (prairie deer mouse) is the source of this 435-nucleotide non-coding RNA. Lineage: Eukaryota; Metazoa; Chordata; Mammalia; Rodentia; Cricetidae. The record is from RefSeq and is a predicted model, not a curated record.